RNAcentral lists this ribosomal RNA (820 nucleotides) under uncultured Spartobacteria bacterium. Its description in RNAcentral is "bacterial SSU rRNA". It matches the Rfam family "Bacterial small subunit ribosomal RNA", at positions 8 to 796 of the family's 1533-position model. Lineage: Bacteria; Pseudomonadati; Verrucomicrobiota; Spartobacteria. The record is from RNAcentral.
AGAGUUUGAUCCUGGCUCAGAACGAACGCUGGCGGCGUGGAUAAGACAUGCAAGUCGAACGGGAUUAUUGGUGUAGCAAUACAUCAAUGGUCCAGUGGCGUAAGGGUGCGUAACACGUGGGUAAUCUGCCGAGAAGUGGGGGAUAGCUCGCCGAAAGGCGAAUUAAUACCGCAUGUGACUAGCGAAGGAUUCUUCGUGACGUCAAAGCCGGGGACCGUAGCAAUACGGCCUGGCGCUUCUUGAUGAGCCCGCGGCCUAUCAGCUAGUUGGUGAGGUAACGGCUCACCAAGGCUAUGACGGGUAGCUGGUCUGAGAGGACGACCAGCCACACUGGAACUGAGACACGGUCCAGACACCUACGGGUGGCAGCAGUCGAGAAUUUUUCUCAAUGGGGGCAACCCUGAAGGAGCGACGCCGCGUGGAGGAUGAAGGUCUUCGGAUUGUAAACUCCUGUCAUUUGGGAACAAGGUGCAUGGGUUAACUGCCGAUGCAUUGAUAGUACCAGAAGAGGAAGAGACGGCUAACUCUGUGCCAGCAGCCGCGGUAAUACAGAGGUCUCAAGCGUUGUUCGGAUUCAUUGGGCGUAAAGGGUGCGUAGGUGGCGGGGCAAGUCUGGUGUGAAAUCUCGGGGCUCAACCCCGAAACUGCACUGGAUACUGCCUUGCUCGAGUACUGGAGAGGAGAUUGGAAUUUACGGUGUAGCAGUGAAAUGCGUAGAUAUCGUAAGGAAGACCAGUGGCGAAGGCGAAUCUCUGGACAGUUACUGACACUGAGGCACGAAGGCCAGGGGAGCAAACGGGAUUAGAUACCCCGGUAGUCC